CGGAGGAAAAGAAACCAACAGGGAUUGCCUCAGUAACGGCGAGUGAAGCGGCAAAAGCUCAAAUUUUAAAGCUGGCAUCUUCGGUGUCCGCGUUGUAAUUUUGUGAGGCAUCUCCGGGUAGGGCGCCAGCCUAAGUUCCUUGGAACAGGACGUCACAGAGGGUGAGAAUCCCGUGCUUGGCUGGCUGUCCCCGCCCACGUGAGGCGUCUUCGACGAGUCGAGUUGUUUGGGAAUGCAGCUCAAAAUGGGUGGUAAAUUUCAUCUAAAGCUAAAUAUUGGUGGGAGACCGAUAGCGCACAAGUAGAGUGAUCGAAAGAUGAAAAGCACUUUGAAAAUAGAGUUAAAAAGUACGUGAAAUUGUUGAAAGGGAAGCGCUUGAGACCAGACUUCGGUAGGGGGUGAUCAGCCGUCCUUCUGGGCGGUGCACUUGCCCCCCUCCGGGCCAGCAUCGGUUGAGGCGGCGGGAUAAAGGUCCCGGGAACGUGGCUCCUUCACGGGAGUGUUAUAGCCCGGGUGAAUGCCGCCAGCCUCGACCGAGGACCGCGCCCGCAAGGGUUAGGAUGCUUGGCAUAAUGGUCUUCAGCGACCCGUCU
This 593-nucleotide ribosomal RNA is filed under the name Morchella punctipes. RNAcentral describes it as "eukaryotic LSU rRNA". It matches the Rfam family "Eukaryotic large subunit ribosomal RNA", at positions 51 to 654 of the family's 3401-position model. Lineage: Eukaryota; Fungi; Ascomycota; Pezizomycetes; Pezizales; Morchellaceae. The record is from RNAcentral.